AUUGAACGCUGGCGGCAUGCCUUACACAUGCAAGUCGAACGGCAGCGCGGGGCAACCUGGCGGCGAGUGGCGAACGGGUGAGUAAUAUAUCGGAACAUACCCUAGAGUGGGGGAUAACGUAGCGAAAGUUACGCUAAUACCGCAUACGCACUAAGGUGGAAAGUGGGGGAUUCGCAAGAACCUCAUGCUCAUGGAGUGGCCGAUAUCUGAUUAGCUAGUUGGUGAGGUAAAGGCUCACCAAGGCAACGAUCAGUAGCUGGUUUUGAGAGAACGACCAGCCACACUGGAACUGAGACACGGUCCAGACUCCUACGGAGGCAGCAGUGGGGAAUUUUUGGGACAAUGGGGGCAACCCUGAUCCAGCAAUGCCGCGUGAGUGAAGAAGGCCU
RNAcentral lists this ribosomal RNA (389 nucleotides) under uncultured bacterium. Its description in RNAcentral is "bacterial SSU rRNA". It matches the Rfam family "Bacterial small subunit ribosomal RNA", at positions 30 to 417 of the family's 1533-position model. The record is from RNAcentral.